Doryrhamphus excisus (bluestripe pipefish) is the source of this 2528-nucleotide non-coding RNA. The record is from RefSeq and is a predicted model, not a curated record. NCBI's taxonomy places the organism in Eukaryota, Metazoa, Chordata, Actinopteri, Syngnathiformes, Syngnathidae.
UUGGCCUCUUCAACUGCAGUAUGUAUGUAUGUAUGCACGUAUCCACACAGGUACCACAGUUGGCCUGCAGUUUGGAUGCGACCAGAACCGGCUAACCGACUUGGCCACCAGAACUGCAGUAUGUAUGUUUGCACCCAGCUAACUAACUUGGCCUCUUGAACUGCUGUAUGUAUGUAUGUAUGUAUGUAUGUAUGUUUGCACCCAGCUAACUAACUUGGCCUCUUGAACUGCAGUGUGUCUGCGUGCGUGCGUGCGUGUGUGUGUAUGUAUGUUUGUGUGUGUGUGUGUGCGUGUGUGUGUAUGUGUGUUUAUGUGUGUGUGUAUGUUUAUGUAUGUGUGUGUAUGUAUGUGUGUGUAUGUUUGUGUAUGUGUGUUUAUGUAUGUGUGUGUGUAUGUAUGUGUAUGUUUUUGUGUGUGUAUGUAUGUGCGUGCGUAUGUAUGUUUAUGCGUAUGUAUGUUUAUGCGUGCGUGUGUGUGUAUGUAUGUAUGUAUAUGUUUAUGUGUGUGUGUGUAUGUAUGUUUAUGUUAUGUGUGUGUGUGUGUGUGUGUGUUUGUGUUUGUGUGUGUAUGUGUGUUUGUGUGUGUAUGUGUAUGUUUGUAUGUGUGUGUAUGUGUGUGUAUGUGUGUGUUUGUGUGUUUGUUUUACAGGUACCACAGUUGGCCUGCGACCAGAACUGGCUAACCGACUUGGCCACCAGAACUGCAGUAUGUAUGUCUGCACCCAGCUAACUAACUUGGCCUCUUCAACUGCAGUAUGUAUGUAUGCACGUAUCCACACAGGUACCACAGUUGGCCUGCAGUUUGGAUGCGACCAGAACCGGCUAACCGACUUGGCCACCAGAACUGCAGUAUGUAUGUAUGUAUGUUUGCACGUAUCCACACAGGUACCACAGUUGGCCUGUUGAACUGCAGUGUGGAUGCAACCAGAACCAGCUAACUCACCUGUCCUGUUGAACUGCAGUUUGGAUGCGACCAGAACCGGCUAACCGACUUGGCCACCAGAACUGCAGUAUGUACCUUUUAAAGACGCGCAAGGAUGGAUAUCUUCAUGUGGAGUUGUGUUUUUAAUCAUCCAUAUUCAUUCAACCACUUAUUUGUUCUUAUCCUUAAGGUAAGAGGUAAGGUAAGGUAAGCCUUUUUACUGGGUAAAAGCACAGACUUUGAAAACUUGCCAUGGGGAUAAACGUUGUCACACAAGUUAACCACUGUAAAAAAACAAAAAAGGCAAACUAUUUAAACGUAAGGUCACACAAGUGUCAAAAGAAUUUAAACACACUCACUGCGCAGUUUGUGUAAAAGGGGAAAAAAUUCUUGUGUAUGGUGUUUUCAAAAAGCAAAACAGAAACUUGUCACAAAUGUAUGAAAUAACUUCUUAACAAGAGCUCUUGUGUGUGUCAAAAUCAAAACAAAAAUCAAAAUGUGCAAACUUCACAAAAGCAAAAGGUGCAAAACAUUGUUGGGACAAGUGUUAAAAGGUUGGUCACACAAGUUAACCACUGUAAAACUGGAACAAAAUGUGUAUACUGUGUCUGAAGGUUUAAAAAAAAUAAAGAGGUCUUGUGUGUGUGUGUCAUAAUCAAAGCACUUGUGUGACAAAUCUAAAAAUAACACUAACUCAAAGGUUUUUUUUUCCAGGAAACACGGUAAAACAAAGGGUCACAAAAAACUGAAUAACGACAGCUCUUGUGUUUGCCAUGGUGUCAAAAACUGCAAACUUGGCAAAAAAAUGUGCAAAAUGUUGUGACAAGUGUGAUUUUUUUUUUUGAAGGUUUAAAAAAAAAAAACAAGAGGUCUUGUGUGUGUCAUAAUCAAAGCACUUGUGUGACAAAUCUAAAAAUAACACUAACUCAAAGGUUUUUUUUUCCAGGAAACACGGUAAAACAAAGGGUCACAAAAAAUUGAAUAACGACAGCUCUUGUGUUUGCCAUGGUGUCAAAAACUGCAAACUUGACCAAAAAAAAAGCAAAAAAAUUGCAAAAUGUUGUGACAAGUGUGAUUUUUUUUUGAAGGUUUAAAAAAAAAAAAAAAAACAAGAGGUCUUGUGUGUGUCAUAAUCAAAGCACUUGUGUGACAAAUCUAAAAAUAACACUAACUCAAAGUUUUUUUUUCCAGGAAACACGGUAAAACAAAGGGUCACAAAAAACUGAAUAACGACAGCUCUUGUGUUUGCCAUGGUGUCAAACUGCAAACUUGGCAAAAAAUGUGCAAAAUGUUGUGACAAGUGUGAUGAUGGUUUUUUUUGCACGUUUAAAAAAAAAAAAAAAAAAACAAAAGGGUGUGUGUGUGUCAUAAUCAAAGCACUAACUUUAAAAACACUUGUGACAAAUCUAAAAAUAACACUAACUCAAUCACCAAAGUUUUUUCCCCGCAGGAAAAAUGGUGAAACAAAGGGCACACAAAAAACUGAAUAACAGCGCUUGUGUUUGCCAUGGUGUCAAAAAGUGCAAACUUGACCAAAAAAAAGCAAAAAAUUUGCAAAUUGUUGUGACAAGUGUGAUUUUUUUUUUUUAAGGUUUAAAAAAAAUAAA